UACGUAGGGGGCUAGCGUUGUCCGGAAUCAUUGGGCGUAAAGCGCGUGUAGGCGGUCCGGUAAGUCCGCUGUGAAAGUCGGGGGCUCAACCCUCGGAUGCCGGUGGAUACUGUCGGGCUUGAGUACGGAAGAGGCGAGUGGAAUUCCUGGUGUAGCGGUGAAAUGCACAGAUAUCAGGAGGAACACCAAUUGCGAAGGCAGCUCGCUGGGACGUUACUGACGCUGAGACGCGAAAGCGUGGGGAGCAAACAGG
RNAcentral lists this ribosomal RNA (253 nucleotides) under uncultured bacterium. Its description in RNAcentral is "partial 16S ribosomal RNA". It matches the Rfam family "Bacterial small subunit ribosomal RNA", at positions 524 to 776 of the family's 1533-position model. The record is from RNAcentral.